Molecule: RNA transcript, 5020 nt
Organism: Ochlerotatus camptorhynchus
Lineage: Eukaryota; Metazoa; Arthropoda; Insecta; Diptera; Culicidae
Gene: Uggt
Gene name: UDP-glucose-glycoprotein glucosyltransferase
Exons: 9
Source: RefSeq, a predicted model, not a curated record
ACUAGCUCGUCGUUCGACCAGCUCAGCGUUUUGUGGGAUAUUUUUUAUGAAAGAACAGCUUUUUCAUUGAAUUAAGAGCAAUCGAACUCAUAAAACAGUUGGUUAAUACAAGAUUAAAUUAAAAAAAUAUCACCAACUGUUUCUGUUAAAAGAAAAUGCAUUCUAUGCUUUGCUGGAACUCGGUUGUUUGAGGUUACGGUGCAAGCGCAAGGAUAACAGUCAUCCAAGAUGAAAACGGUGCACAGUUUAGUAUUACUAGGAGUGAUAACUCUCAUCGGAAAUGCUACCGGUGAAUCCAAGAGCCAUCCCAUCACUACGCAGCUGUCUGCAAAAUGGGGCAUAACGCCAGUAGAACUGGAGAUAGCGGAAUUCAUUGAGGAGGAAAAUGUCAAUUUGUUUUGGGAUUAUAUCGAUCUGAUAAACAAAAUACCAAAUGGGUUGCACAGCAUAGGUACCGAGCAGGACCGAUAUAAGAAGUCAAUCGAGAUUGCCGAAGCUUUGCUUGGAAUCGGUCAAACGAACCUUCUGAAACUGGCAUUAUCGCUUCAUAGUUUCUCUGCAAAAGUUCAAGCCCAUCUUCAGAUUUCCAACGAGGUACUAAAACAAGGCGAUUGUGAGACAUCUGCUUUCGUGAACAUAGGAGGUAAGAUAGCGUGCGACGAAAGUGACCUAAGAAGUAUCCUGAAAGCGAUUGACACGGACCAAACGAAAGUGGAAACCUACAGUCUGGAUCACGUGUACCCAGCGUCGGAGAAUAACUCUUUAACAGCUAUCUUAUAUGCACAAAUUGGAACUGACGCGUUUCAAAAUAUCCACGUCAUUCUUAAGGAAGAAGCCGAGAAGGGAGCGAUUAAGUAUGUUUUCCGUCAUUUCAUCAAAAAUGUGUCGAGUAAGAAAAUGCGCUUGUCGGGCUAUGGAGUCGAAUUGCAUCUAAAAUCAACUGAGUACAAAAGUCAAGACGAUUCGCCCCAGCAGCAAGAUCAAGAAGCGAACCUUAACGACGAUUCAGCGGAACCAGAAGUUGAAGGUUUCGAUUUCGUCAAGCUCAAGGAGCGAUUGCCACAUCUUUCUCAUUCGCUAGAUCGGUUCCGCAAUUCAUUGCUGGAGAAGCAUGAAGAGAUUGCCCCACUCAAAGCGUGGGAGUUUCAGGAAUUGGGUCUGCAGGCAGCUCAGAGAAUUGCUCAAAUUCAGGGAGAAGAAGCGCUGCAGAUACUGCAGUUUACCGCUCAGAAUUUCCCAACGCAAGCCAAAUCCCUACUCGCUCAAGCAGUUUCGGAAGAUUUCAAAAAAGAAAUGCGGCAUAACAUUGAAGUUCUGGGACGCAAUCUGAAUCUUCAGCCGCCAGAUUCUGCUUUAUUUUUGAAUGGGUUGUUUUUCGAUGCUGACACAAUCGAUACGAUUACCCUGUUGGACACUCUCAGAACAGAAAUGCACGUAUUGGAAGGGCUUAAUAAGAUCAAUCUCCGUGGCAAGACGGCUGCUCCGCUGUUGGCGCUGGAUCUCUCGUCUACAUCCAAAGAAUUUGCCAUCGAUAUUCGUGAUUCUGCCAUCACGUGGAUCAACGAUUUGGAAAACGACGCCCAAUAUAGACGGUGGCCAGGCAGUGUCAUGGACCUGCUACGUCCUACUUUCCCCGGAAUGCUACGGAACAUUCGUAAGAAUCUGUUCAAUCUGGUGCUUGUUAUAGAUCCCAUUUCCUUUGACGAGAGCGGUCGAGGUAUCGUGAAGCUUGCGGAAAGUUUCGUUGUUCAUUCGGCUCCGGUUCGAGUAGGGUUGGUGUUUGACACUAGAGCAAGCUCGGAUAAGGAAGUCGACCACCGUGCCAUCGUAUGUGCUUUUAACUAUGCGCACCAGAAGAAAGGAUCCACCGACGCUCUCGGUUUUCUAACGGAUCUUUUUGCUGCAACAACGAAGCGUGACAUUACACAUGAUGAUGUUCGAAAGCAGUUGAAGAAAUCGUUCUCUAAGCUGAAAUCGGACGAAGUUGAUGAAAUUCUCGGUGAAGAUUCCGACUUUGACUACGGUCGACAGCUGUCACAGGAAUUCGUCGGAAGGUUAGGAUUGAAAACUACACCCCAGGCACUGAUGAAUGGCGUCCUGCUGUCGCAAAGCACGCUUAACACAGACGACUUCGAAGAAACCAUUCUAACGGAAAUUAUGCAACAAACACCCACCAUCCAAAAGGCCGUCUACAAGGGUGACCUGAACGACGGGGAACCGGCUAUCGACUAUCUGAUGAAACAACCGCACGUUAUGCCGCGAUUGAAUCAGCGGAUUCUUUCUGUCGAAGAUCCAGUUUUUCUGGACGUAUCCGGCAAUCCUCAUCCGGACCUCGAGGACGUAUCCGCUCUGGCACAAUUGUCAAACUCCGAUUUAACGGCUACACUGAUCAAGAAUCUGAAGUACCUGGGAGGAAAGUCCAGUUACGAGAAGUAUAUGGGCCAGCGAUUACAUUUACACAGCGUUUGGGUUGUGGCAGAUUUGCAACAAACCAACGGUCGUCAGCUCUUGCAGAAUGCGUUACGUUUUAUGAAAUCAACCAGCGGAACACGAGUGGCCUUCAUUCCCAAUGUAGACGGUACAGCUGCCGUUCGAUCUGAACUGAGGAAAGAUUUGAAUGCUCUCGUGUGGGCUACCAUCAACACACUUCAACCCGAUGAGGCAACGGAGGUGGUCAUAAAUCUCCUGAAGCAAGCUGAGGAGGGGAACGACUUCGAAGUUCCCGACCCAGUGUUCGGAUUCAUUCCAGCAACGCAACUUCAUUUAAAAAUGCUCCGCGUUUACUGUCAACGUGUGCUGAAAAUGAAAGCAUCUCUCAGUGCUCUGGUGGCCAACGGGCGCAUUCUGGGAACAUUCGAUCAGGACGAAGUUUUCGAUUCGGAAGAUUUCGGCUUGCUGGAAAAGUUCAUCAAUCUGCAAUACACCGAUAAGAUUCGACAGGCUCUCAAGGAGGCUUCUGUCGAUGAAGACGACGUUGAAAUCACCAGUGAUACCGUUUUCAAAUUGGUAGCAAUUUUAGUGCCUCGACAGCAGUCGAAAUCGCGUUUCAAUAUACCGGCAGAAAUCCAGGAAAAUCACACCGUGGUCCGACUUCCUCCCAAGUCAAAGGAUCUACCCUUCUUCGAGGUCGUUGCAGUGCUAGAUCCAGCCUCGAGAGGUGCGCAAAAGCUCUCGUCUUUGCUUAUCUUGUUGCGCAAUGUGAUCAACUGCAAUAUGCGAUUGAUUCUUUGUGCCGUAGACAGACACAGUGAUAUGCCGGUAAAAACAUUUUACCGAUUUGUCGUCGAACCGGAACUACAAUUCACAUCAGAUGGAAAGCUCGCUCCGGGUCCGUACGCCAAGUUCGUUGGAUUGCCUGCCAAUCCCUUGCUGACUCAAAGUCUCAACGUGCCCGAGAACUGGCUCGUAGAAGUGGUGAGAUCCGUAUACGACCUGGACAACAUAAAGCUUUCGGAAAUCAACGGACCGGUGCACAGUGAUUACGAGCUGGAAUAUCUGCUACUGGAGGGCCAUUGCUUCGACACUACAACGGGAUCUCCCCCACGAGGAUUACAAAUCACUCUCGGCACCGAGGAGCAUCCUAUUGUUGUCGAUACCAUUGUGAUGGCCAAUUUGGGUUAUUUCCAACUGAAAGCAAACCCAGGAGCUUGGAUCUUGAAAUUGCGUCACGGGAAGAGUGCCGAUAUCUACGACAUCACCAGCGCCGAAGGACCCAGCACAGUGCACUCCAGUGACGACACAAGAGUUAUCAUGAGUUCGUUGAAGUCACACGUAUUGAAGCUAAGGGUGACCAAGAAACCGGGCAAAGCUAGUGCUGAUUUGCUAGGUGAUGAUAAGGACUCCGGUGGUGGCAUAUGGGAUUCUAUUAGUUCCAUCGUAGGAUCCGGUGAUGCUCAAGAUAAAGAAGUGCUAAACAUUUUUUCUGUUGCGUCCGGUCAUUUGUACGAGCGUCUGCUACGAAUUAUGAUGCUGUCACUUUUGAAGCACACCAAAACUCCCGUCAAAUUUUGGUUCUUGAAGAACUAUCUAUCGCCACAAUUCAUAGACUUCUUGCCGUACAUGGCCAAAGAGUACAAUUUCCAGUACGAACUAGUACAGUACAAAUGGCCACGGUGGUUGCAUCAGCAAACGGAGAAACAACGGAUAAUUUGGGGAUAUAAAAUUCUUUUCCUGGACGUACUUUUCCCACUGGAUGUGAAAAAAUUUAUUUUCGUGGAUGCCGAUCAAAUCGUUCGUGCUGAUAUGAAGGAGCUCAAUGAUUUCGAUCUCGGCGGAGCACCGUAUGGUUAUACUCCGUUCUGUGACUCCCGUCAGGAAAUGGAAGGAUUCCGAUUUUGGAAACAAGGAUAUUGGAGGAACCACUUGCAAGGCCGAAAGUACCACAUUUCGGCGCUGUACGUGGUCGAUUUGAAGCGUUUCCGUAAGAUUGCCGCCGGGGAUCGUAUCCGCGGACAGUAUCAAGCACUGAGUCAGGAUCCAAACAGUUUGUCGAAUCUGGAUCAAGAUUUGCCAAAUAAUAUGAUACACCAGGUUGCAAUUAAAUCUCUGCCCCAGGAAUGGUUAUGGUGCGAAACCUGGUGCAGUAGCGAUACACUGCAACACGCAAAGACCAUUGAUCUUUGCAAUAAUCCUCUGACAAAGGAGGCUAAACUGACCGCGGCCCAAAGACUCGUGCCCGAAUGGAAAGACUACGACACGGAGAUAAAACGACUUCAAGCUAAGGUGGACGAACUUGAACACGAGGCUGGUCAGAUUUCACAUUCCCAAGGAGAUGCUUCCUCCAACCAAGAAGCGCAACACACUGAGCUGUAAUAGAAUUUCAACGUAAAAUAAAUCAGCAUUUUGAAAUUAAAAUUAAAUCUAAGCCAAUGGUCAGCUCCAUGAGAACUGUGUUUGCUGUGAUUAUUUAAUGGUUGUUUUUGCGUUGUUUCACCUUUAGAACCACGAUGCCACUGGUUCACACACCAGAAGACAGAAAUUCUACUGAUUUGAAAGGUUAAUAAAAUUGUACAACCAUCUC